ACAAUCCAAGCAAAAUAGCACCUCCAGAAUCUGUGAUCCCAGUGUAAACCCAGCCAAUUCCAUGUCUACAUCAACUCACUCAACAGAUUCUUCAGAAAUUACUUUUCCAAAAUUAAAAAGUCCUGGCUCAAAAUCUGUUGAAUCUUCCAGCACUUCUGAAAGUGGUGAAUGGCAACAUUUUGAGGAGGAUGCUGCUGAUGAUAAACUUGAAGAUUUAGAUGAUGAUUUCUCAAGG
Molecule: long non-coding RNA, 235 nt
Organism: Mizuhopecten yessoensis (Yesso scallop)
Lineage: Eukaryota; Metazoa; Mollusca; Bivalvia; Pectinida; Pectinidae
Exons: 3
Source: RefSeq, a predicted model, not a curated record